This 485-nucleotide ribosomal RNA is filed under the name Ophiostoma trinacriforme. RNAcentral's name for it is "SSU rRNA". It matches the Rfam family "Eukaryotic small subunit ribosomal RNA", at positions 405 to 895 of the family's 1831-position model. The record is from RNAcentral. Lineage: Eukaryota; Fungi; Ascomycota; Sordariomycetes; Ophiostomatales; Ophiostomataceae.
GGCUACUACAUCCAAGGAAGGCAGCAGGCGCGCAAAUUACCCAAUCCCGACUCGGGGAGGUAGUGACAAUAAAUACUGAUACAGGGCUCUUUUGGGUCUUGUAAUUGGAAUGAGUACAAUUUAAUUCCCUUAACGAGGAACAAUUGGAGGGCAAGUCUGGUGCCAGCAGCCGCGGUAAUUCCAGCUCCAAUAGCGUAUAUUAAAGUUGUUGCAGUUAAAAAGCUCGUAGUUGAACCUUGGGCCUGGCUGGCCGGUCCGCCUCACCGCGUGCACUGGUCCGGCCGGGCCUUUCCCUCUGGGGAGCCGCAUGCCCUUCACUGGGCGUGUCGGGGAACCAGGACAUUUACUUUGAAAAAAUUAGAGUGUUCAAAGCAGGCUUAUGCUCGAAUACAUUAGCAUGGAAUAAUAGAAUAGGACGCGCGGUUCUAUUUUGUUGGUUUCUAGGACCGCCGUAAUGAUUAAUAGGGACAGUCGGGGGCAUCAGU